GCCGGGGUGGCGGAACUGGUAGACGCACCAGACUCAAAAUCUGGCGUUGGCAACAACGUGUCGGUUCGAUUCCGACCCUCGGCACCA
This 87-nucleotide transfer RNA is filed under the name Magnetococcales bacterium. RNAcentral describes it as "tRNA-Leu". It matches the Rfam family "tRNA". From Rfam's summary of the family: Transfer RNA (tRNA) molecules are approximately 80 nucleotides in length. Their secondary structure includes four short double-helical elements and three loops (D, anti-codon, and T loops). The record is from RNAcentral. Lineage: Bacteria; Pseudomonadati; Pseudomonadota; Magnetococcia; Magnetococcales.